AACGAACGCUGGCGGCAGGCUUAACACAUGCAAGUCGAACGGUCUCUUCGGAGGCAGUGGCAGACGGGUGAGUAAUGCAUGGGAAUCUACCGUUCUCUACGGAAUAACUCAGGGAAACUUGUGCUAAUACCGUAUACGCCCUUUUGGGGAAAGAUUUAUCGGAGAAUGAUGAGCCCAUGUUGGAUUAGCUAGUUGGUAGGGUAAAGGCCUACCAAGGCGACGAUCCAUAGCUGGUCUGAGAGGAUGAUCAGCCACACUGGGACUGAGACACGGCCCAG
Molecule: ribosomal RNA, 278 nt
Filed under: uncultured bacterium
Lineage: Bacteria
Description: partial 16S ribosomal RNA
Rfam family: Bacterial small subunit ribosomal RNA
Source: RNAcentral